Molecule: ribosomal RNA, 984 nt
Filed under: human gut metagenome
Description: bacterial SSU rRNA
Rfam family: Bacterial small subunit ribosomal RNA
Source: RNAcentral
AUUGGUCAAUGGACGAGAGUCUGAACCAGCCAAGUCGCGUGAGGGAAGACUGCCCUAUGGGUUGUAAACCUCUUUUAUAAGGGAAGAAUAAGUUCUACGUGUAGAAUGAUGCCUGUACCUUAUGAAUAAGCAUCGGCUAACUCCGUGCCAGCAGCCGCGGUAAUACGGAGGAUGCGAGCGUUAUCCGGAUUUAUUGGGUUUAAAGGGUGCGUAGGCGGUUUAUUAAGUUAGUGGUUAAAUAUUUGAGCUAAACUCAAUUGUGCCAUUAAUACUGGUAAACUGGAGUACAGACGAGGUAGGCGGAAUAAGUUAAGUAGCGGUGAAAUGCAUAGAUAUAACUUAGAACUCCGAUAGCGAAGGCAGCUUACCAGACUGUAACUGACGCUGAUGCACGAGAGCGUGGGUAGCGAACAGGAUUAGAUACCCUGGUAGUCCACGCCGUAAACGAUGCUCACUGGUUCUGUGCGAUAUAUUGUACGGGAUUAAGCGAAAGUAUUAAGUGAGCCACCUGGGGAGUACGUCGGCAACGAUGAAACUCAAAGGAAUUGACGGGGGCCCGCACAAGCGGAGGAACAUGUGGUUUAAUUCGAUGAUACGCGAGGAACCUUACCUGGGUUUAAAUGGGAAAUGUCGUAUUUGGAAACAGAUAUUCUCUUCGGAGCGUUUUUCAAGGUGCUGCAUGGUUGUCGUCAGCUCGUGCCGUGAGGUGUCGGGUUAAGUCCCAUAACGAGCGCAACCCUUACCGUUAGUUGCUAGCAUGUAAUGAUGAGCACUCUAACGGGACUGCCACCGUAAGGUGAGAGGAAGGCGGGGAUGACGUCAAAUCAGCACGGCCCUUACACCCAGGGCUACACACGUGUUACAAUGGCCGGUACAGAGGGCCGCUACCAGGUGACUGGAUGCCAAUCUCAAAAGCCGGUCGUAGUUCGGAUUGGAGUCUGUAACCCGACUCCAUGAAGUUGGAUUCGCUAGUAAUCGCGCAUC